Molecule: ribosomal RNA, 508 nt
Filed under: uncultured bacterium
Lineage: Bacteria
Description: partial 16S ribosomal RNA
Source: RNAcentral
GGAGUUAGCCGGUGCUUCUUCUGUGAGUUGAUGUCCUUCCUGCCGGCUAUUAACCCGCAGGCCUUCUUCCUCACUGAAAGUGCUUUACAACCCGAAGGCCUUCUUCACACACGCGGCAUGGCUGGAUCAGGGUUGCCCCCAUUGUCCAAUAUUCCCCACUGCUGCCUCCCGUAGGAGUCUGGGCCGUGUCUCAGUCCCAGUGUGGCUGAUCAUCCUCUCAGACCAGCUACGGAUCGUCGCCUUGGUGAGCCGUUACCUCACCAACCAGCUAAUCCGACAUAGGCUCAUCCGAUAGCGCGAGGCCCGAAGGUCCCCCGCUUUCCCCCGUAGGGCCGUAUGCGGUAUUAGCCUGGGUUUCCCCAGGUUAUCCCCCACUACCGGGCAGAUUCCUAUGCAUUACUCACCCGUCCGCCGCUCGCCACCAGGGAGCAAGCUCCCCGUGCUGCCGCUCGACUUGCAUGUGUUAGGCCUGCCGCCAGCGUUCAUCUGAGCCAGAAUACAACUCUGA